ACUGUGGAUGCCUUCGUAAGUUGCAUGGAAGGUUUUUAAACCUAGCCCUGCCGAGCAGCCCUCUCCUGGUCCGGGAGAACGAUGGGGAGAGAGCUGGCGUUCAGCUUUCAUCACUGGAGCCGUUCCUUCUUCCGGCCCCCCGAGGGCCUGUCCAUGAUCACACUUUGUCUUGUUUCGGGGGUGGCCCCUGUGACCCCUUAGAGGUGCAAAUCCAAGGCAGUAGAAGCCGCCUGCCAGGCCAGUGCCCGCCACUGCUUAAUUCAGGCGGAAUCACGGCUCAGAGGGUUCCCUCCACUUUCCAAGGGAAACAUGUCCACGGGGUAUCUCUUCCUGCGUAUUUUCUCACGACCCUUCCUUACAUCCAAGGCCACGUCUCUCGACACGUUGUCCCCCCUCUGCCGUCACACAUGGCGUAAUCCGCGCCCCCCCUACCCCCCACAUCAGCUGCUCAGCGAGCCGCACUCACAGUCACAGGCCCCGCCGGCGGCAACCCCACCUCCUCCCGCCCAGGCAGGAAACGCUCAGCAGCACCAUCUGCUUGGCUCCUCAGCCAGCCGCGCUCCGGGAGCCCUGGGGGCGAGGCGGCCGUGGCGUCCUCCACGUCUGUGUCUCCCCGCACGUCAGCCGCCCCACGCUGUCUCUGGAAGCUUCCGGAGUACCCAGGCCUUCUGCACUCCACGCACUGCAUGUGCGCCUGAGCCGCUGUCUCGAUUUUACAAAACGGAAUCUAGCAGUCCAUGCACUCAGGGAGGCGGCUGGCAGGAUUUUCUGGCAAACUAAGGGUGUUCUUUCCUGGCCAAAGGAAAAGUCUUUUGGAAAAUGAAUAAUCUCUUCCUAAUUUGCUUGACUAGGAAGAUGGGUUUUUGCACAGUGGGUUUGUUGAAGGGAGGCAGCUCUUGAAAUUUUGUUCAUAAUCCGACAUGACAAGGGUGACCGUAUAAUCUACCGACCCAUCUGAGCCCCUUGAGAAGAAAGGAGAAGGUUGUUAAUACACGCACUGGGACCACAGGCAUCACUGGGCCUGUCCUGGGCAAACUGAUUUAUGAUGGCCGCCGUUGACCUUCGCUGUGGUCAGCCUAAGUGACCUCAGCGUGCACCUGCCAUGAUUUCCUGGAAUCACUCUCUGGGUUCCAGGCUUCUAGGCCUGUGGUUUUGGGGCUGGUUUCUCUGAAUUCUCAGAUCCUGGUCAGAAGUUUGUGGGCAGAUUGGUGUCUGAUGAAUGAGGGCCGCUCAUUCAAGAAACCAGCGUAGCAAAUGGGAGGUGGUGCAGGGUCUCUCUGCGAAGCGCUCAAGCCCACUUCCCUGCCCCCACGUGUCCUGAUUUUACUUUGAAAUUUCCAGUGGAUGCAAUAGUGCCGACCAUGUGCACAUGGGGUCAGGAUCUCAGGCCCGCCAGCUGGACUACAGCAAGUACCCAUGGUCUCAGGGAAAAGGUCCCCUGCUGCAGGCUGUGGGGGACCUCGGCUCUCACAGUGGCUAUGCCUGAGAAAGCCCCUCCAGACUCGCCAACCUGGCCCGCGCGUCCUGUCCGGAGGGCAGGGUGGGGCUGGUGCUGGUUACAGAUGAUCCUCAAGGGCACAGCACGCAAGCCACCAGGCGCCCCUCCUGCAGCUGGGUCAGAGAGAGGCACUGGGAGCCUGGCUCCCUCCAGGUCAGUCUCCACCAGGGCCACCCCGGUGACCUGCAGGAGAGGAAGGCAGACGAGGAGUGGCCCUGCCCCUUAGGGCGCAUCGUGCAGGUGGCACAAGGGGGUCAUCUGCAUCCUGGUCAAGGGGGAGCCCACCUGCCUCCUCCAGGUCGGGAACACUCCCUGGAGGCCAUGGUGUGGAGCGUCCACCCGGGCUUCGUCCUCCAGCUCAGCUGCUGGGCCCUGGGAAGGGACAGGCCCAGCACCCGUUCAGCCGGGCUGAGCCGCAGGCAGAGCGCCUUGCCUGGGAGAGACAAACCCACCGCUGAGGACACACCCUCAAGGUUCACCCUUCCCCACUUCUGUGUUGCCCUUAGCUCUAAGGUGCUAAUUCCAUCUCUAGUUUCAACAGGC
Molecule: long non-coding RNA, 2041 nt
Filed under: Homo sapiens (human)
Lineage: Eukaryota; Metazoa; Chordata; Mammalia; Primates; Hominidae
Description: non-protein coding lnc-CRYAA-2:2
Source: RNAcentral